AGUGAACGUUGGCGGCGUGGAUUAGGCAUGCAAGUCGAGCGAGAACCGUAGCAAUACGGGGACAGCGGCGAAAGGGACAGUAACGUGUAGGUACCUACCCCGAGGUCUGGGAUAGCUGCGGGAAACUGCAGGUAAUACCGGAUAAUGUCUUCGGACCAAAGGUGUGAUUCCACCUUGGGAGGGGCCUGCAUCCUAUUAGCUUGUUGGCGGGGUAACGGCCCACCAAGGCGACGAUGGGUAGCGGGUGUGAGAGCACGACCCGCGUCAUUGGGACUGAGACACUGCCCAGACACCUACGGGUGGCUGCAGUCGAGGAUCUUCGGCAAUGGGCGCAAGCUUGACCGAGCGACGCCGCGUGCGGGAUGAAGGCCUUCGGGUUGUAAACCGCUGUCGUAGAGGAGGAAAUGCAGGGGGUUCUCCCUUCUGUUUGACCUAUUCUAGGAGGAAGGACGGGCUAAGUUCGUGCCAGCCGCCGCCGUAA
RNAcentral lists this ribosomal RNA (481 nucleotides) under uncultured bacterium. Its description in RNAcentral is "partial 16S ribosomal RNA". It matches the Rfam family "Bacterial small subunit ribosomal RNA", at positions 28 to 523 of the family's 1533-position model. The record is from RNAcentral.